RNAcentral lists this ribosomal RNA (491 nucleotides) under uncultured bacterium. Its description in RNAcentral is "bacterial SSU rRNA". It matches the Rfam family "Bacterial small subunit ribosomal RNA", at positions 35 to 507 of the family's 1533-position model. The record is from RNAcentral.
AGGAGACGGCUGGCGGGCGUGGAUUAGGCAUGCAAGUCGAACGGUAUCAUCCUUUCGGGGAUGAGAGAGUGGCGAACGGGUGAGUAACACGUAGGUGAUCUACCCUCAAGACGGGGACAACCCAGGGAAACUUGGGCGUAAUACCGGAUGUGAGCUAUCGCGAGAUAGUUUGAAAGGUGGCUUCGGCUGCCGCUUGAGGAUGAGCCUGCGUCCUAUUAGCUAGUUGGUGAGGUAACGGCUCACCGAGGCGAUGAUAGGUAGGCGGCCUUAACGGGUGGUCGCCCACACUGGGAUUGAGAUACGGCCCAGACUCCUACGGGAGGCAGCAGUCGAGAAUAGUCUACAAUGGCCGAAAGGCUGAUAGUGCGACGCCGCGUGAACGAAGAAGCCCUUCGGGGUGUAAAGUUCUUUUAUAUGUGAGCAGUGCUUUCUAUGUGAACAGCAUGGGGAGAGAGAUAUUAGCAUAUGAAUAAGCAACGGCUAACUCCGUG